This 591-nucleotide unclassified non-coding RNA is filed under the name Penicillium copticola. RNAcentral's name for it is "sequence contains ITS1, 5.8S rRNA gene and ITS2". The stretch from base 214 to 367 matches the Rfam family "5.8S ribosomal RNA". The record is from RNAcentral. Lineage: Eukaryota; Fungi; Ascomycota; Eurotiomycetes; Eurotiales; Aspergillaceae.
UAACAAGGUUUCCGUAGGUGAACCUGCGGAAGGAUCAUUACCGAGUGAGGGCCCUCUGGGUCCAACCUCCCACCCGUGUUUUCCGAACCCUGUUGCUUCGGCGGGCCCGCCUCACGGCCGCCGGGGGGCUUCCGCCCCCGGGCCCGCGCCCGCCGAAGACACCUGUGAACGCUGUCUGAAGUUGCAGUCUGAGAAACUAGCUAAAUUAGUUAAAACUUUCAACAACGGAUCUCUUGGUUCCGGCAUCGAUGAAGAACGCAGCGAAAUGCGAUAACUAAUGUGAAUUGCAGAAUUCAGUGAAUCAUCGAGUCUUUGAACGCACAUUGCGCCCUCUGGUAUUCCGGAGGGCAUGCCUGUCCGAGCGUCAUUGCUGCCCUCAAGCACGGCUUGUGUGUUGGGCCCCCGCCCCCCCCCGCGCUGGGGGGGCGGGCCCGAAAGGCAGCGGCGGCACCGCGUCCGGUCCUCGAGCGUAUGGGGCUUCGUCACCCGCUCUUGUAGGCCCGGCCGGCGCCAGCCGACCCCCCUCAAUCUAUUUUUCAGGUGACCUCNNAUCNGGUAGGGAUACCCGNNNAACUUAAGCAUAUCNANAAG